Molecule: ribosomal RNA, 305 nt
Filed under: uncultured bacterium
Lineage: Bacteria
Description: partial 16S ribosomal RNA
Rfam family: Bacterial small subunit ribosomal RNA
Source: RNAcentral
ACAGCAGCAGCCGCGGUAAUACGUAGGGCGCAAGCGUUGUCCGGAAUUAUUGGGCGUAAAGAGCUCGUAGGCGGUCUGUCGCGUCUGGUGUGAAAUCCCGAGGCUCAACCUCGGGCUUGCAUCGGGUACGGGCAGACUAGAGUGCGGUAGGGGAGACUGGAAUUCCUGGUGUAGCGGUGGAAUGCGCAGAUAUCAGGAGGAACACCGAUGGCGAAGGCAGGUCUCUGGGCCGCAACUGACGCUGAGGAGCGAAAGCAUGGGGAGCGAACAGGAUUAGAUACCCCCGUAGUCCCUGUCUCUUAUAC